Molecule: long non-coding RNA, 872 nt
Organism: Alligator mississippiensis (American alligator)
Lineage: Eukaryota; Metazoa; Chordata; Crocodylia; Alligatoridae
Exons: 3
Source: RefSeq, a predicted model, not a curated record
CGCUAUCUUGGAGAUCAGCCGCUAAUUGCUUCAUUAGCGGCUGAUUAACACAGACCCAGGGAUUCCCCAGCCGUGGCUUGUGCCAGCGGGUGGAGUGUGGCUCUUUCACAGUCUCUCUAUUCUCUCCCCCUCGCUCCCUCUCGUCCUCCUGUGAGGGAUCGGAGUCCCGUUUCUUCAGGGCUGGAUCGGGCGUUUCCUCGCCUCCUUUGUCUCCUGGGCAACCCCGCCACGUCUUGUCCCGGAGCCGCAGUUUGUCGCCGCUCCCCUGCUCUGUUCCCUGUGACUCACCACAGAAGCUGGCUUUUCAGCACAAUGGAGCCAAAUGCUGCACUAUUAGAGAGAGCCACUGUUAAAUGUUUUGAGUUUGAUUACAAAGGAUUUCCAAAUAACACGGCUAUGAUUCUUAAACUGCUUCAGAAGGAAAGUGACCCAGGAUUUUUAAGCACCUGAAAUCUGUGCUGAUUCACAAAAACCUCUGAAAAGACCAACGUGGCUACCAAGUACACCCCUGAAACAUGGAAGAUGCCAAAUUUUAGUCUAUUUUGGAUUUUAAACUUCAUUGCAGAACAAGAAGGAUUUUUUUUACCGUCCUGCCUGCCAUCUGACACCUCUAGGGAAGGAAUUCUACCUGAUCUACACAUCAAAGAGCUACUCAGCACAGUUCACAAAGACACUCUCAUGAAGCCUUGCAUCUUCAGCUCCCUCUGUACAAAAAUGAAGUUUAUUUCCUACCUAUGGGGACUUUUUACCAUCUUGUAUCAUCUAUACUUUUCCCAGAGCCUGAUGAAGGGAUAUUGAUCCUGAAAGCUUGCAAAAAAGGACAAUUUUAUUGUAAUUUCCCAGUUCAUCUAAUAAAAGGUAUCAUUUUGGAA